This 253-nucleotide ribosomal RNA is filed under the name uncultured bacterium. RNAcentral's name for it is "partial 16S ribosomal RNA". It matches the Rfam family "Bacterial small subunit ribosomal RNA", at positions 524 to 776 of the family's 1533-position model. The record is from RNAcentral.
UACGGGGGGAGCAAGCGUUGUUCGGAAUCACUGGGCGUAAAGGGCGUGUAGGCGGUCAAGUAAGUGGAAUGUGAAAGCCCCCGGCUUACCCGGGGAUCUGCAUCCCAAACUGCUUGGCUUGAGUACGGGAGAGGAUAGGGGAAUUCCUGGUGUAGCGGUGAAAUGCGUAGAUAUCAGGAGGAACACCGGUGGCGAAGGCGGGUAUCUGGCCCGAUACUGACGCUGAGGCGCGAAAGCUAGGGGAGCAAACGGG